AAAACCUCCCUCCUAAGGUCUUAGGAUCCAAACAGUCUGUUCCCUGGGUAAAGACUGCUCCGGGGAAGAAUUCUUCCCCUUCCUUCUACUGGCUAUCCUUUUUCUAAUACAAUGAACAGCAUCUAAGCCAGGUUUCUGCCCCAUAUUUUGAGGCCCUGGAUGAACCAAGCCUGGAUAGCUGAGAAACAAACUCAGGUCCUAAGGCAGUCAUGUCCACCUUGCUGGCUUUCACAUCUCUAUACUUAAUCCUGGAGGAAACAGAAGAACACCUGUUUGAGCCAGAAUUCUUGUCAGGAGGACUUCUGGAUAGGAGCGUCAAGACUUAAUUAGAAUUUGAAAUUCACGGAUCAUUGACCACAGCACCAUAAUUGGCUUGGGCAUAUGCACUCCUGCAGAUCACCAGUGAGCCAACUCCUUGAAACAACCACUCCAAAUGCUAUGUUAAGAAUGAAUUGUAGAUGUGAUGGCUGGAGUUCAAGCAGCCAUCUUGUGCCAUAAGAUGAAAACUACACACUGAGGAUGGUGGAGCAUCAAGAGAGAAGGAGCCUGAGUCUGUGAGGACUUCUUAAAGCUGCUCUGCCAGCCCU
Long non-coding RNA from Equus caballus (horse), 587 nucleotides. RefSeq lists it as uncharacterized. NCBI's taxonomy places the organism in Eukaryota, Metazoa, Chordata, Mammalia, Perissodactyla, Equidae. The record is from RefSeq and is a predicted model, not a curated record.